CUUCACCGACCCCAACCAGAGCGGGUCGCGCCCGUCGCGGUCCUGCCCGUACGUGGCCAGCAGCGCCUGCGCCUC
This 75-nucleotide antisense RNA is filed under the name Micromonospora sediminicola. RNAcentral's name for it is "ASpks TB sRNA". It matches the Rfam family "ASpks TB sRNA". The record is from RNAcentral. Lineage: Bacteria; Bacillati; Actinomycetota; Actinomycetes; Micromonosporales; Micromonosporaceae.